GUAAGGAAUAUUGGUCAAUGGGCGGGAGCCUGAACCAGCCAAGUCGCGUGAAGGAAGAAGGAUCUAUGGUUCGUAAACUUCUUUUGCAGGGGAAUAAAGUGCAGGACGUGUCCUGUUUUGUAUGUACCCUGAGAAUAAGGAUCGGCUAACUCCGUGCCAGCAGCCGCGGUAAUACGGAGGAUCCGAGCGUUAUCCGGAUUUAUUGGGUUUAAAGGGUGCGUAGGUGGUUUGAUAAGUCAGCGGUGAAAGUUUGCAGCUUAACUGUAAAAAUGCCGUUGAAACUGUCGGACUUGAGUGUAAAUGAGGUAGGCGGAAUGCGUGGUGUAGCGGUGAAAUGCAUAGAUAUCACGCAGAACUCCGAUUGCGAAGGCAGCUUACUAAGCUACAACUGACACUGAAGCACGAAAGCGUGGGGAUCAAACAGGAUUAGAAACCCGGGUAUCC
This 444-nucleotide ribosomal RNA is filed under the name uncultured bacterium. Its description in RNAcentral is "partial 16S ribosomal RNA". It matches the Rfam family "Bacterial small subunit ribosomal RNA", at positions 354 to 795 of the family's 1533-position model. The record is from RNAcentral.